RNAcentral lists this ribosomal RNA (501 nucleotides) under uncultured bacterium. RNAcentral's name for it is "bacterial SSU rRNA". It matches the Rfam family "Bacterial small subunit ribosomal RNA", at positions 28 to 504 of the family's 1533-position model. The record is from RNAcentral.
GACGAACGCUGGCGGCGUGCCUAAUACAUGCAAGUCGAACGCAUUUUCUUUCACCGUAGCUUGCUACACCGGAAGAAAAUGAGUGGCGAACGGGUGAGUAACACGUGGGUAACCUGCCCAUCAGCGGGGGAUAACACUUGGAAACAGGUGCUAAUACCGCAUAAUUCCAUUUACCGCAUGGCAGAUGGAUGAAAGGCGCUUUUGCGUCACUGAUGGAUGGACCCGCGGUGCAUUAGCUAGUUGGUGGGGUAACGGCCUACCAAGGCUGCGAUGCAUAGCCGACCUGAGAGGGUGAUCGGCCACACUGGGACUGAGACACGGCCCAGACUCCUACGGGAGGCAGCAGUAGGGAAUCUUCGGCAAUGGACGCAAGUCUGACCGAGCAACGCCGCGUGAGUGAAGAAGGUUUUCGGAUCGUAAAACUCUGUUGUUAGAGAAGAACAAGGAUGAGAGCGGAAAGUUCAUCCCUGACGGUAUCWACCARAAGCCCGRAAUMUUYGG